Molecule: long non-coding RNA, 481 nt
Organism: Tetranychus urticae (two-spotted spider mite)
Lineage: Eukaryota; Metazoa; Arthropoda; Arachnida; Trombidiformes; Tetranychidae
Source: RefSeq, a predicted model, not a curated record
UUAAUGUACGAGCAUGCUCUUUGGCAAGAGUUAGACUUUACUGACAAGGAUUUGACUUUUCAAGAACAAAUCUUGUUUAUAUUCAACUGUUUGGUGCACAAUUAACAAUCUGAUCUUAUAUUAGUUGAUACCAUCGAAUUUUCGUAUUCAAAUAUCAACUAGAAAUGGCUACAGAUGAAAAACCUAUGCUGAAUUUGGCUUAUGAAUAUGCAACUGAUUUCCAUCAGGCUUUCGCCAUGAUUGCGUUCACUGCAAUUGCCAUGGCUUUGAUUAUUUUAGGAGUAUCAGUUGGAAUGUGGAACAUGGAUCCUGGUCGAGACUCAAUUAUCUACCGAGCAACUAGUCAAAAAAUGAAAAAAGACCAGUGAAUUCGGUGAAUUCAUCUUUCCAUUCCUCAUUCUCUUUUUUUGUUUCAACUUGUUGUAAUUUGAUUUCAUGGUGUCUAUUGUGUGAAGCCAAUUGAAUUUUUUUUAUUUGUUAA